AAAUUAAAUUGUUAUAGUAUUUUGUUAUUAUAAUGCAAUAUAAAAAAAUAAUUUGUUAAAUUAAAAGAGGAUUUAAAAUGUUAACAUAAAGUGCAAAAAUUAAAGUUUGCCAGGUUUAAAAUAUAACAAUAAUGUUAUAAAUAUUAAACAGCAACUUCUGCAGCCGUGAUAAGAAAAUAAGCUAAAAAUUCAAAACAAAAAAAGAAAAGCAUUACGUGGUGACUUGUUUAAAACGUUAGUAGUACAAUUAAUUCA
This is a long non-coding RNA of Lucilia sericata (common green bottle fly), 255 nucleotides long. RefSeq lists it as uncharacterized. The transcript has 2 exons. The record is from RefSeq and is a predicted model, not a curated record. Lineage: Eukaryota; Metazoa; Arthropoda; Insecta; Diptera; Calliphoridae.